UGAUGGAAUGCUUACUUACUCCUGUC
This 26-nucleotide non-coding RNA is filed under the name Homo sapiens (human). Lineage: Eukaryota; Metazoa; Chordata; Mammalia; Primates; Hominidae. The record is from RNAcentral.